AGGACGAACGCUGGCGGCGUGCCUAACACAUGCAAGUCGAACGAGAAUCUACUUAUGAAAUUUCGGAUGGAUUAGGUAGAGGAAAGUGGCGAACGGGUGAGUAACGCGUGAGCAAUCUGCCUUGUACUGGGGGGAUAACGUCGGGAAACCGGCGCUAAUACCGCAUAAUACUAUGAGAUCGCAUGGUCAUAUAGUCAAAAACUCCGGUGGUACAAGAUGAGCUCGCGUCCAAUUAGCUAGUUGGUGGGGUAAUGGCCCACCAAGGCGACGAUUGGUAGCCGAACUGAGAGGUUGAUCGGCCACAUUGGGACUGAGACACGGCCCAGACUCCUACGGGAGGCAGCAGUGGGGAAUAUUGGUCAAUGGGCGGAAGCCUGAACCAAGCCAUGCCGCGUGCAGGAUGACGGCCCUACGGGUUGUAAACUGCUUUUCCCCGGGAAGAAUAAGCCCCUCGUGAGGGGUGAUGCCGGUACCGGGGGAAUAAGGAUCGGCUAACUCCGUGCCAGCCGCCGC
Molecule: ribosomal RNA, 513 nt
Filed under: uncultured bacterium
Lineage: Bacteria
Description: bacterial SSU rRNA
Rfam family: Bacterial small subunit ribosomal RNA
Source: RNAcentral